RNAcentral lists this ribosomal RNA (379 nucleotides) under uncultured eukaryote. Its description in RNAcentral is "partial 18S ribosomal RNA". It matches the Rfam family "Eukaryotic small subunit ribosomal RNA", at positions 592 to 976 of the family's 1831-position model. The record is from RNAcentral.
CAAUAGCGUAUAUUUAAGUUGUUGCAGUUAAAAAGCUCGUAGUUGGAUUUCGGAUGGGACUUGCCGGUCCGUCGUUUCGAUGUGCACUGGCCAGUCCUAUCUUGUUGUCGGGGACUAGCUCCUGGGCUUCACUGUCCGGGACUAGGAGCUGACGAGGUUACUUUGAGUAAAUUAGAGUGUUCAAAGCAAGCCUACGCUCUGAAUACAUUAGCAUGGAAUAACACGAUAGGACUCUGGCUUAUCUUGUUGGUCUGUGAGACCAGAGUAAUGAUUAAGAGGGACAGUCGGGGGCAUUCGUAUUUCAUUGUCAGAGGUGAAAUUCUUGGAUUGAUGAAAGACGAACUUCUGCGAAAGCAUUUGUCAAGGAUGUUUUCAUUAA